UGACAUCACAAGAUACUUCAUUAACCCCUU
This 30-nucleotide non-coding RNA is filed under the name Mus musculus (house mouse). Lineage: Eukaryota; Metazoa; Chordata; Mammalia; Rodentia; Muridae. The record is from RNAcentral. RNAcentral also lists the same sequence under 1 other name.